RNAcentral lists this ribosomal RNA (451 nucleotides) under uncultured Fibrobacter sp. Its description in RNAcentral is "partial 16S ribosomal RNA". It matches the Rfam family "Bacterial small subunit ribosomal RNA", at positions 341 to 792 of the family's 1533-position model. Lineage: Bacteria; Pseudomonadati; Fibrobacterota; Fibrobacteria; Fibrobacterales; Fibrobacteraceae. The record is from RNAcentral.
ACGGGAGGCAGCAGUAGGGGAUAUUGCACAAUGGGGGGAACCCUGAUGCAGCAACGCCACGUGUGGGAAGAAGCAUUUCGGUGUGUAAACCACUGUCGUGAGGGAAUAAUGCUUGGCUCCGGCCAAGUUGAAUGUACCUCGAAAGGAAGCACCGGCAAACUUCGUGCCAGCAGCCGCGGUAAUACGAGGGGUGCAAGCGUUGUUCGGAAUCACUGGGCGUAAAGGGAGCGUAGGCGGAGAUGCAAGCAGUCUGUACAAUACCGGGGCCCAACCCCGGACCUGCAUACUGGACUGUGUCGCUUGGAUGGUGCAGGGGCAGGCGGAAUUCCUGGUGUAGCGGUGGAAUGCGUAGAUAUCAGGAAGAACACCGAUGGCGAAGGCAGCCUGUUGGGGACUCAUCGACGCUGAGGCUCGAAAGUGCGGGUAGCAAACAGGAUUAGAUACCCUGGUA